Molecule: ribosomal RNA, 459 nt
Filed under: uncultured bacterium
Lineage: Bacteria
Description: partial 16S ribosomal RNA
Rfam family: Bacterial small subunit ribosomal RNA
Source: RNAcentral
CCUACGGGUGGCAGCAGUGGGGAAUAUUGCACAAUGGGCGCGAGCCUGAACCAGCCAAGUCGCGUGAGGGAUGAAGGUUCUAUGGAUCGUAAACCUCUUUUAUAAGGGAAUAACGUGUGGGACGUGUCCUAUUUGUAUGUACCUUUUGAAUAAGGAUCGGCUAACUCCGUUCCAGCAGCCGCGGUAAUACGGAGGGUCCGAGCGUUAUCCGGAUUUUUUGGGGUUAAAGGGGGCGUAGGGGGCCUUUUAAGUCAGCGGUGAAAGUCUGUGGCUCAACCAUGGAAUUGCCGUUGAAACUGGGGGGCUUGAGUAUGUGUGAGGCAGGCGGAAUGCGUGGUGUAGCGGUGAAAUGCUUAGAUAUCACGCAGAACCCCGAUUGCGAAGGCAGCCUGCCAAGCCAUGACUGACGCUGAUGCACGAAAGCGUGGGGAUCGAACAGGAUUAGAUACCCCAGUAGUC